RNAcentral lists this long non-coding RNA (918 nucleotides) under Equus asinus (donkey). RNAcentral's name for it is "lncRNA (ENSEASG00005027942.1)". The record is from RNAcentral. Lineage: Eukaryota; Metazoa; Chordata; Mammalia; Perissodactyla; Equidae.
CUUUUGACCUGGGGUAACAGAGCUUGAUCUUGAUUUUGUGCCUUGUGAUCUGUGGUUACCUAACGCUUGUGAUAGGCUCACUCACAAACAUACUGGAUCCUUCCAGAGCAUUGUGUCUGAAACACAAAUCUAUCAUGCCAAUCUCCAGUUUUUUCCUGCUGGGACUCUGCUUAAUAUGAUGUGGACUCUCAGAGACCUGAGCAAGUGCGCCUUGUGGUCCUUGAACCUUAAUGAAGUCAGAAUCCUCAAUUUGCAGGAUCCUUGUUACUAAGAAAAUGGAAACUGGGCCAAAAAUAUAAACGAUGCCCCUUUGCAGAAUCCUAAAGGAAACAGAGAAACUGGCAACAAUGGACAAGCCACUCUCAUGGGCUCCUUUUUCCCAGAACUCGUAAGAAAUUAAGGUUGCUGGAAUGUGAUGGCGUGUGGCUAGAGGAACUGAAAUCUGGCUGAGAGCUUCAGAGGUUUUCUGGCAACGAGAAUGCGCAGCAGAGCGUGGUUGCGGAGGGAGGUUAUGGUGGUCCGAGAGAAGAUGGAAUAGCUGCCCCAUCAUGUGGAGGCCAGACCUAGGGCUGCAGCCAGAAGACGGCAACUAAGGAAGAUGGCGGACCAUCCAGCCUUGAAAAUGGAAUAGACAGCCUUUCAGAGGCAAGGAAAACAGAAGAAUCAAAGAUGGUAGAUGGAAGUCUUUAAGACAGUGCUAUCCAAUAGAGAUAUAAAGCAAGCCACAUAUAUGAGCCCCAUCUGUGUUUAAAUUUUCUAGUAGCCGCAUUACAAAAAAGUAAAAAGAAACAGAUAAAACUAAUUUUAAUGAUGUAUUUUAUUUACCUUGAUUAUAUUAAAAAAUAUUAUAAUGUUAACGUGAUCGACAUAAAAAAUUGUUGAGAUACUUUACCUUCUCUUUUUCAUACCACAUCUUCA